GAAAAUUGAAGUUCCCCUCACAAAUAUCAGAUAUCUGACGCAAAGCAUAGUGGACUUAUGUUCUUGUGUACUUUGAACUCUUAAAGUUUUGAAAAUUGAACCUUUUUCCUCUGUGUACUUUGAACUCUUAAUGCAAGUUGGAGACAAAUACCUUCUGUGUUGUGUACUGAGAAGACAAAAGGCUCUAUUUUUCGUGCUAAACUGCUGCUUUUUUUGAUUGACACAGGACGACUGGGAAGUAGACAAACUGAAACACAUUCAAAAGUUGAACUGAAGAAAAUUGAAGUUCCCCUCACAAAUAUCAGAUAUCUGACGCAAAGCAUAGUGCAGUUAUGUUCUUGUGUACUUUGAACUCUUAAAGUUUUGAAAAUUGAACCUUUUUCCUCUGUGUACUUUGAGCUCUUAAUGAAAGUUGGAGACAAAUACCUUAUGUGCAGUGUACUGAGAAGAGAAAAGGCUCUAUUUUUCAUUGACGCAUG
This 479-nucleotide long non-coding RNA is filed under the name Triticum aestivum (bread wheat). Its description in RNAcentral is "long non-coding RNA (TAES_LNC011946)". The record is from RNAcentral. Lineage: Eukaryota; Viridiplantae; Streptophyta; Magnoliopsida; Poales; Poaceae.